GACGAGGGAUCCUAGCGUUGUUCGGAAUCAUUGGGCGUAAAGCGGGUGUAGGUGGCUUGGUAAGUCAGGUGUGAAAGCCCAGGGCUUAACCCUGGAAGUGCAUUUGAAACUGCCGAGCUUGAGUGUGGGAGAGGAUAGUGGAAUUCUGGUGUAGUGGUGAAAUACGUAGAUAUCAGGAGGAACACCGGUGGCGAAGGCGGGUCUCUAGGCCGUAACUGACGCUGAGGAGCGAAAGCGUGGGGAGCGAACAGG
RNAcentral lists this ribosomal RNA (252 nucleotides) under uncultured bacterium. Its description in RNAcentral is "partial 16S ribosomal RNA". It matches the Rfam family "Bacterial small subunit ribosomal RNA", at positions 524 to 776 of the family's 1533-position model. The record is from RNAcentral.